Molecule: ribosomal RNA, 373 nt
Filed under: uncultured bacterium
Lineage: Bacteria
Description: bacterial SSU rRNA
Rfam family: Bacterial small subunit ribosomal RNA
Source: RNAcentral
AACGAACGCUGGCGGCAGGCCUAACACAUGCAAGUCGAACGCUCCGCAAGGGGAGUGGCGCACGGGUGAGUAACACGUGGGAACCUACCUUCUGGUACGGAACAACCAAGGGAAACUCUGGCUGAUACCGUAUACGACCUCCGGGUGAAAGAUUGAUCGCCGGAAGAGGGGCCCGCGUCCGAUUAGGUAGUUGGUGAGGUAACGGCUCACCAAGCCUGCGAUCGGUAGCUGGUCUGAGAGGANGACCAGCCACACUGGGACUGAGACACGGCCCAGACUCCUACGGGAGGCAGCAGUGGGGAAUAUUGGACAAUGGGCGCAAGCCUGAUCCAGCCAUGCCGCGUGAGUGAUGAAGGCCUUCGGUUGUAAGUAC